CGUUAAGAAGCUAUGCAACAGCACUAGUCUUUUAAACUAGAAAAAGAGGAUACCCAUUCCUCCUUAAUGA
RNAcentral lists this transfer RNA (70 nucleotides) under Batrachostomus cornutus. RNAcentral describes it as "tRNA-Lys". The record is from RNAcentral. Lineage: Eukaryota; Metazoa; Chordata; Aves; Caprimulgiformes; Batrachostomatidae.